AGGGUUUGAUUCUGGCUCAGGAUGAACGCUGGCGGCGUGCCUAACACAUGCAAGUCGAACGAAGCGGUUUUGGUGAAGUUUUCGGAUGGAACCGAGAUUGACUGAGUGGCGGACGGGUGAGUAACGCGUGGGUAACCUGCCUCACACAGGGGGAUAACAGUUAGAAAUGACUGCUAAUACCGCAUAAGCGCACGGGACCGCAUGGUCCAGUGUGAAAAGCCUUAACGGUGUGAGAUGGACCCGCGUCUGAUUAGGUAGUUGGUGAGGUAACGGCCCACCAAGCCGACGAUCAGUAGCCGACCUGAGAGGGUGACCGGCCACAUUGGGACUGAGACACGGCCCAA
This 344-nucleotide ribosomal RNA is filed under the name uncultured bacterium. RNAcentral describes it as "bacterial SSU rRNA". It matches the Rfam family "Bacterial small subunit ribosomal RNA", at positions 8 to 334 of the family's 1533-position model. The record is from RNAcentral.